RNAcentral lists this ribosomal RNA (253 nucleotides) under uncultured bacterium. RNAcentral's name for it is "partial 16S ribosomal RNA". It matches the Rfam family "Bacterial small subunit ribosomal RNA", at positions 524 to 776 of the family's 1533-position model. The record is from RNAcentral.
UACGGAGGGUGCAAGCGUUAUCCGGAUUCACUGGGUUUAAAGGGUGCGUAGGUGGGCUAGUAAGUCAGUGGUGAAAUCUCCGGGCUUAACCCGGAAACUGCCAUUGAUACUAUUAGUCUUGAAUACCAUGGAGGUGAGCGGAAUAUGUCAUGUAGCGGUGAAAUGCUUAGAUAUGACAUAGAACACCAAUUGCGAAGGCAGCUUGCUACAGGGAUAUUGACACUGAGGCACGAAAGCGUGGGGAUCAAACAGG